This 403-nucleotide ribosomal RNA is filed under the name uncultured bacterium. RNAcentral's name for it is "bacterial SSU rRNA". It matches the Rfam family "Bacterial small subunit ribosomal RNA", at positions 30 to 433 of the family's 1533-position model. The record is from RNAcentral.
AUUGAACGCUGGCGGCGUGCUUAACACAUGCAAGUCGUGCGGUAACAGGCGUAGCAAUACGUGCUGACGAGCGGCGAACGGGUGCGUAAUACAUGGGAAUCUGCCUUUUAGUGGGGAAUAACCCGGCGAAAGCCGGGCUAAUGCCGCAUAAGAUCUUCGGAUGAAAGCGGGGGAUCGUAAGACCUCGCGCUGAUAGAUGAGCCCAUGCCGGAUUAGCAGUUGGUGAGGUAACGGCUCACCAAGGCGACGAUCCGUAGCUGGUCUGAGAGGACGGCCAGCCACACUGGGACUGAGACACGGCCCAGACUCCUACGGGAGGCAGCAGUGGGGAAUAUUGGACAAUGGGGGAAACCCUGAUCCAGCGACGCCGCGUGUGUGAAGAAGCCUGCGGGUUGUAAAGCAC